UACGUAGGGACCGAGCGUUGUCCGGAAUCAUUGGGCGUAAAGAGCGUGUAGGCGGCCCCUUAAGUCCUGCGUGAAAUCCUGCGGCUCAACCGCAGACGGUCGUGGGAAACUGGAGGGCUAGAGUGCGGGAGAGGAGAGUGGAAUUCCCGGUGUAGCGGUGAAAUGCGCAGAUAUCGGGAAGAACACCCGUGGCGAAGGCGGGUCUCUGGGCCGUAACUGACGCUGAGGUGCGAAAGCGUGGGGAGCAAACAGG
RNAcentral lists this ribosomal RNA (253 nucleotides) under uncultured bacterium. RNAcentral describes it as "partial 16S ribosomal RNA". It matches the Rfam family "Bacterial small subunit ribosomal RNA", at positions 524 to 776 of the family's 1533-position model. The record is from RNAcentral.